RNAcentral lists this transfer RNA (65 nucleotides) under Marmota monax (woodchuck). Its description in RNAcentral is "tRNA.Pro". The record is from RNAcentral. Lineage: Eukaryota; Metazoa; Chordata; Mammalia; Rodentia; Sciuridae.
GGAUGUGGCUCAAGUGGUAGGGCGCUCAUCUGGCAUGCGCGGCCUGGGUUCGAUCCUCAGCGCCA